UACAGAGGUCCCAAGCGUUGUUCGGAUUUACUGGGCGUAAAGGGUGCGUAGGCGGUCGGGUAAGUCUGGUGUGAAAUCUUCGAGCUUAACUCGGAAACUGCAUUGGAUACUAUUCGGCUAGAGAGUUGGAGGGGGGAUUGGAAUACUUGGUGUAGCAGUGAAAUGCGUAGAUAUCAAGUGGAACACCAGUGGCGAAGGCGAAUCCCUGGACAACUUCUGACGCUGAGGAGCGAAAGCGUGGGGAGCGAACAGG
RNAcentral lists this ribosomal RNA (253 nucleotides) under uncultured bacterium. Its description in RNAcentral is "partial 16S ribosomal RNA". It matches the Rfam family "Bacterial small subunit ribosomal RNA", at positions 524 to 776 of the family's 1533-position model. The record is from RNAcentral.